RNAcentral lists this unclassified non-coding RNA (231 nucleotides) under plant metagenome. RNAcentral's name for it is "partial contains small subunit ribosomal RNA, internal transcribed spacer 1, and 5.8S ribosomal RNA". The stretch from base 163 to 231 matches the Rfam family "5.8S ribosomal RNA", at positions 1 to 55 of the family's 154-position model. The record is from RNAcentral.
GUAGGUGAACCUGCGGAAGGAUCAUUCAUGAAAUGCAAGGACGUUCUUUUUAGAGGUCCGACCCAAUUCAUUUCCUUCACACUGUGCACAAACUGUUUUUACACAUUUUAAACACUAUAAGAUAAGAAUGUAACUGUCUCUUGAUUGAGCAUAAACUAUUAAAACUUUCGGCAACGGAUCUCUUGGCUCCCGCAUCGAUGAAGAACGCAGCAUCUGACUGACUUCAGGUUG